GAUGAACGCUGGCGGCGUGCCUAAUACAUGCAAGUCGAGCGAACGGACGAGAAGCUUGCUUCUCUGAUGUUAGCGGCGGACGGGUGAGUAACACGUGGAUAACCUACCUAUAGGACUGGGAUAACUUCGGGAAACCGGAGCUAAUACCGGAUAAUAUUUUGAACCGCAUGGUUCAAAAGUGAAAGACGGUCUUGCUGUCAAUGAUAGAUGGAUCCGCGCUGAAGUAGCUAGUUGGUAAGGUAACGGCUUACCAAGGCAACGAUGCAUAGCAGGCCUGAGAGGGUGAUCGGCCACACUGGAACUGAGACACGGUCCAGACUCCUACGGGAGGCAGCAGUAGGGAAUCUUCCGCAAUGGGCGAAAGCUUGACGGAGCAACGCCGCGUGAGUGAUGAAGGCCUUCGGGUCGUAAAACUCUGUUAUUAGGGAAGAACAUAGGUGUAAGUAACUGUGCACAUCUUGACGGUACCUAAACAGUAAGCCACGGCUAACUACGUG
RNAcentral lists this ribosomal RNA (497 nucleotides) under uncultured bacterium. Its description in RNAcentral is "partial 16S ribosomal RNA". It matches the Rfam family "Bacterial small subunit ribosomal RNA", at positions 28 to 507 of the family's 1533-position model. The record is from RNAcentral.